RNAcentral lists this ribosomal RNA (496 nucleotides) under uncultured bacterium. RNAcentral describes it as "partial 16S ribosomal RNA". It matches the Rfam family "Bacterial small subunit ribosomal RNA", at positions 28 to 507 of the family's 1533-position model. The record is from RNAcentral.
GAUGAACGCUGGCGGCGUGCCUAAUACAUGCAAGUCGAGCGAACAGACGAGGAGCUUGCUCCUCUGACGUUAGCGGCGGACGGGUGAGUAACACGUGGAUAACCUACCUAUAAGACUGGGAUAACUUCGGGAAACCGGAGCUAAUACCGGAUAAUAUAUUGAACCGCAUGGUUCAAUAGUGAAAGACGGUUUUGCUGUCACUUAUAGAUGGAUCCGCGCCGCAUUAGCUAGUUGGUAAGGUAACGGCUUACCAAGGCGACGAUGCGUAGCCGACCUGAGAGGGUGAUCGGCCACACUGGAACUGAGACACGGUCCAGACUCCACGGGAGGCAGCAGUAGGGAAUCUUCCACAAUGGGCGAAAGCCUGACGGAGCAACGCCGCGUGAGUGAUGAAGGUCUUCGGAUCGUAAAACUCUGUUAUUAGGGAAGAACAAAUGUGUAAGUAACUAUGCACGUCUUGACGGUACCUAAUCAGAAAGCCACGGCUAACUACGUG